AGUUCCUAACCAAAGUCAUGCCAAAAGAAGUUCUUUGAAGAUGAAGAAAAGCCCCUGGAUUUGGAAAAAGCACUGACCUGUGGAAAGUUCUUCAUUGUCUCCUUAAGUUUCAUUACAUUUGCUAUUAGUGAAUGUUCAGCUUACAGGAGCUACUUUGAUUUGGAUUUAUGGAGAAUACGCCCUUUUUGAAAACCAAUAGAGGGCUCAACUAACUCUAGCCAAACUCUACAAUAGGAAAGGAAGGAUAAUACAUGGAUGGGCACAAUGGCAAUUCAUCUUUCUGCUGGAAGCUGUGUUGUGGAGUUUUGUUGUUUAGUGUCUGUCAGCACUUUCAUCCUGGGGAAUUUAAAUUUCUCUAACAACAGCCGGACUGCAAAUAAAAGUUUGCAUAUAAAGUAUCAGAACUCAGAACUAUUAAUUUUUUUAUUAAUUUUCCAAAUGAGGUUAAGUCUUAAGAUAUGAAAAAGUACUUGGGUGGCACUCAGCAUAACAAGAAGGAAAUUAUUAGCUUGGCAUUUGUUUAAUCUUGUAAAACAUUUCUUUAAAAGGACAGUGAGAUGAAUAUUUAAAAUGUGAUCUCAAAUCCCACAAAAAAUAUGUAUUCAUCCAGGAACUGAGCUACAUUUGAUGUGUCUAGCUUUUCUAGGCACUGUAAUUACUCUACUAGCUUUGAGAAUAACUUAUUCAAAAUCUAACCAUGUAUGUUCAACAGGUUUCCUUUCAGGAACGCUUCAGCUGCUGAUGGAUCACAAAAGGAAGGACCAUGUCCUGUCUUUGAAGAUAUGGAUAAAAGGUAGGACUGCAGCCUCUUCUUUUGGGGGAGCCAUCCAGCUUGCCAGCUGUCAAGCCCUGCCCAUCUCUCAAGCACAUACCAAUAGCCUUACUUGUCCUGCUCAUCCCCCUGGCUCCUGCCUGGAGCAACGCGGUGUUCCCCGUCCCCGCAGCGCCGGGAGGUCCCACAUCAGGGCUGGGAGCACAGCAGGGGCACACGGACCUCAGGGAUCGCGUCUGGUUUAACAUUGGACAUUCAGAGUGAAACAGAACAAGAGGAAACAAAACCCAGUAGGAGAAGCAAACCGAAGUAUUCUUUUUCCACCGAACCUUUUAAGGAUAUUUUUAAUAAACAUUUGAAGAACAUUGUCGCA
Molecule: long non-coding RNA, 1145 nt
Filed under: Parus major (Great Tit)
Lineage: Eukaryota; Metazoa; Chordata; Aves; Passeriformes; Paridae
Description: lncRNA (ENSPMJG00000006012.1)
Source: RNAcentral